UGACAUUGAGUUAAAUUUUUCUAGAGAUGCACGUCAGGCUACGGCGUAGGGUCUGCAUCUCCACCUACCUACGUACGUAGCGGCGGCGUGGAUUUAACGCAGGAGCAUAAAUUGGCCUUAACAGACAA
Molecule: long non-coding RNA, 128 nt
Organism: Sander lucioperca (pikeperch)
Lineage: Eukaryota; Metazoa; Chordata; Actinopteri; Perciformes; Percidae
Exons: 4
Source: RefSeq, a predicted model, not a curated record